GUAACAAGGUCUCCGUUGGUGAACCAGCGGGGAUCAUUA
Molecule: ribosomal RNA, 39 nt
Filed under: Beauveria bassiana
Lineage: Eukaryota; Fungi; Ascomycota; Sordariomycetes; Hypocreales; Cordycipitaceae
Description: partial 18S ribosomal RNA
Source: RNAcentral